UACAGAGGGUGCAAGCGUUAAUCGGAAUUACUGGGCGUAAAGCGCACGUAGGCGGUUUUUUAAGUCAGAUGUGAAAGCCCCGGGCUCAACCUGGGAAUUGCAUUUGAAACUGGAAAACUAGGGUGUGUGAGAGGGGGGUAGAAUUCCAAGUGUAGCGGUGAAAUGCGUAGAGAUGUGGAGGAACACCAAUGGCGAAGGCAGCCCCCUGGGUCGAUACUGACGCUCAUGCACGAAAGCGUGGGUAGCAAACAGGAUUAGAUACCCCGGUAGGUACCGUCCGU
Molecule: ribosomal RNA, 281 nt
Filed under: uncultured bacterium
Lineage: Bacteria
Description: partial 16S ribosomal RNA
Rfam family: Bacterial small subunit ribosomal RNA
Source: RNAcentral